GCGGGAAUAGCUCAGUUGGUAGAGUACGACCUUGCCAAGGUCGGGGUCGCGAGUUCGAGUCUCGUUUCCCGCUCCA
Molecule: transfer RNA, 76 nt
Filed under: Pseudomonas aeruginosa
Lineage: Bacteria; Pseudomonadati; Pseudomonadota; Gammaproteobacteria; Pseudomonadales; Pseudomonadaceae
Also listed under: 18 other names
Description: tRNA-Gly
Rfam family: tRNA
About the family: Transfer RNA (tRNA) molecules are approximately 80 nucleotides in length. Their secondary structure includes four short double-helical elements and three loops (D, anti-codon, and T loops). Further hydrogen bonds mediate the characteristic L-shaped molecular structure. tRNAs have two regions of fundamental functional importance: the anti-codon, which is responsible for specific mRNA codon recognition, and the 3' end, to which the tRNAs corresponding amino acid is attached (by aminoacyl-tRNA synthetases). tRNAs cope with the degeneracy of the genetic code in two manners: having more than one tRNA (with a specific anti-codon) for a particular amino acid; and 'wobble' base-pairing, i.e. permitting non-standard base-pairing at the 3rd anti-codon position.
Source: RNAcentral